Molecule: non-coding RNA, 97 nt
Filed under: bovine gut metagenome
Description: TPP riboswitch (THI element)
Rfam family: TPP riboswitch aptamer (THI element)
About the family: Vitamin B(1) in its active form thiamin pyrophosphate (TPP) is an essential coenzyme that is synthesised by coupling of pyrimidine and thiazole moieties in bacteria.
Source: RNAcentral
UAAACAGGGGUGCUGACGGUAUGUCGGCUGAGAUAGGGCAAACAACAGCCCUGAACCCUUAAACCUGAUGCGGAUAAUGCCGACGUAGGGAUUAUAU